GAAAAGAUCAAAAGAAAGCAACGUCAAUGGAGGGAGGGAAGAGGGAAACUGAGUGCGAGGAAGAUGCGUCAUAGAACAGGUUUUAUUCUUGUUGCAAUUUGUGAUCAUGGAAUCUAUGUUCUAGCAAUUCUUGAAUGCAACUGCUUUAUGGCUGUUGCCUUCAAAAUGUAUGCUCCCUUCUUCUCUCUGAACACCUAGCAGAGUAUAUGCUUCCAAGACAAGAAAUCCUCGCCUCCUUUAGCUCAAUUAGCUGCAGUAGAUACCAGAUUUAGCAAAUUCAUGAUGUAGUCACUUAUUGUAUUAUAUUUAGAAAUCUUCCCUAAUCUCUUAUAACUGUGUAACUCGAGAAAACUACUAUGAAAUGGAGUGACACUCCCAGAGAGCAAAUAUGAUCUGCAGCUUCCAAGGAUGACAGCAUAAUUUGGAUUAAGCAUUCACCCAUUCCCUCUAUUGUUUUUGUUUGUUUGUUUGUUUUUUUAAUCUUUUCUAGUGGCAUAGUAAUGAUUGUUGUGCAUUUUGUGCAUGUUAAUAUUGGGGUUGAUGUAAUAAAGCGACAAUUUAACUAUUCACCGUGGCAAGUUUCAUACUUCUAUAAGUUCAACUGUCUGGCAAGUUGCAUGUGUAGGUACCUGUCAAGGAUUAACAAAAUUAAUUAUGUGAUUCAAAAGGAUGCUAGGUGUCUAACCAAUAUUGGUGACACAUAAGAGACAAAAUUGCUCGAGUGUAAGUUCAAAUAAAGUCUUUAUUACCCCCAAACAUAUUAAUAAAGAGCAUCUUCCUUUAUUAUAUUAUUUCAGAGUUACAUUAAGAGAAGUUGAUGAGUAGCCUAGUAAUAUUAGUGUAUAUGUCAAACAUCAGGGAUUGAAGAGGUGAAAGUGUAGGUCCAUGUCCAAAUUGUAGAGAAUGAGAAGUCAAAGAAAUGAAGUUGAGAAAAUCACCGAAGCCGCCUUCUUUAUAGGAUAAUGGGUUCUGCUUGUCCACAAGUUCCGGUGCUGGUCCUACCUUUUUCUCCAGAGCUAGACUGUGCAGGCUAGCAAUUGAAAUUCGACACUUCUCUGAGUUGACUGUUGCUCUGUGGAUGACAGCCUUGAUUUGCAGCCCCUGUUGGUUCUGAAGUAUGAUUGAUAGCAAGCUGUAAUCUGUGUGCGGUGGCAAGCCUAAUGCAAGUUCCGGUUCAGGACAUGCUGGAUAGUAGUUAACAGCCAUGACUUCUGAUCCUUGUUCAAUGUCUUCUUUUAAGGUUUGAAGGCCACAAAUCAAUCCAAGCUGAGAUUGGAUUGCAGUAGUGUUUGAGGAAGUCUCUCCAAAAGUGAACUUUGUCGUUGACAUGAUUUAGGCUGGUGCCAUAUCUCACAGGCUCGUGAACAUUAUCAGACAUCAGCUGCAUUUUAUCUUCGCUUGGCAAAUUAAAGAAUGCAUUUGCAGCAUCUAAGGCACCAUUCAUGACCAAAGUGUAACAUGGACAUUUGAUUAUAUUGUAUGUACCUGGAAGAAACCUAGUUCCUUGCAGGCCAGACGUACUUCCUGAAUCACCCGAGAGCGAAGCAGAGGAUGCUGCAAGGAGGAAAGAUCGAUGAUUGGCAAGUUAGAGGAGUUGGUGUUUUGGGUGCAGUUGGGGCGGUCUGAUGGCGGGAGAAUGUAACUUUUCGGGAGAUGACUUAACCCCCUUCGAGUAAGUGAUGUUGCACUCGUAAAUGAAGCACUUGCUAAAGCAGAGCUCUCCAUCAUGGGGAGCUGCUUCCAUAAAUGAAAAUAGUAUAUGAUAAUGCUACUUGAAGGAUGGGAAACGGGAAAUCACGGCUGAGGGCAACGGUGGGACCCGCAAGCCGCCGCACGAACUGGAAUCUGAAUGGAAAUCUGGGUCAGAGGCAACAUGCAAAUUCAACUGGACUUUUGAGUAUAUAUCAGAGCUAUCCGGUCUCCGUACAUUCAGAUUUCCAUGUACGCGUAAAUCCAUGCAAAUUCAAUCCGCGCCAAGGAGGAUUAUUUUUGCUAUUAUCCUUGCUUCCCAUCUGUUGAAGUGCAUAUUGAUGUAUUAUUAUCUCCCUAUUAUGCUUUGGUGUGGAUGCUCUUAUCAAAUUUCCAUUUCUGUGGAACACACAGUCACAGAUUCAUAUAUUUGGUAGACACUAGACAGUGCAUUUAAUGAUUACUGGACAUGAUGAAUUCGCGGACGAGCAGCCGCUGCUCGGAGCAUUGAAUCCUUGCUAAAAGCGACAAAAACAAUGAUGCGAUUACCGAAAACGGAAAAGGGUAUUGUUUGUAACUUGUAAGCGUGUUGUUUUUUUGGACAUUUGGCUUAGAAAUGAAGAGAGUUCAAUGUAUA
Long non-coding RNA from Ipomoea nil (Japanese morning glory), 2326 nucleotides. RefSeq lists it as uncharacterized. The transcript is spliced from 8 exons. Lineage: Eukaryota; Viridiplantae; Streptophyta; Magnoliopsida; Solanales; Convolvulaceae. The record is from RefSeq and is a predicted model, not a curated record.